RNAcentral lists this ribosomal RNA (460 nucleotides) under uncultured bacterium. RNAcentral describes it as "partial 16S ribosomal RNA". It matches the Rfam family "Bacterial small subunit ribosomal RNA", at positions 338 to 795 of the family's 1533-position model. The record is from RNAcentral.
CCUACGGGUGGCAGCAGUGAGGAAUAUUGGUCAAUGGACGAGAGUCUGAACCAGCCAAGUAGCCUGAAGGAUGACUGCCCUAUGGGUUGUAAACUUCUUUUAUAUGGGAAUAAAACGUUCCACGUGUGGGCUUUUGUAUGUACCAUAUGAAUAAGGAUCGGCUAACUCCGUGCCAGCAGCCGCGGUAAUACGGAGGAUCCGAGCGUUAUCCGGAUUUAUUGGGUUUAAAGGGAGCGUAGGUGGAGUGUUAAGUCAGGUGUGAAAGUUUGCGGGUCAACCGUAAGAUUGCAGUUGAAACUGGCAGUCUUGAGUACAGGAGAGGUGGGCGGAAUUCGUGGUGUAGCGGUGAAAUGCUUAGAUAUCACGAAGAACUCCGAUUGCGAAGGCAGCUCACUGGACUGCAACUGACACUGAGGCUCGAAAGUGUGGGUAUCAAACAGGAUUAGAUACCCCUGUAGUC